UAGGGAAUCUUCCACAAUGGACGCAAGUCUGAUGGAGCAACGCCGCGUGAGUGAGGAAGGUUUUCGGAUCGUAAAGCUCUGUUGUUGGUGAAGAAGGAUAGAGGCAGUAACUGGUCUUUAUUUGACGGUAAUCAACCAGAAAGUCACGGCUAACUACGUGCCAGCAGCCGCGGUAAUACGUAGGUGGCAAGCGUUGUCCGGAUUUAUUGGGCGUAAAGCGAGCGCAGGCGGAAUGAUAAGUCUGAUGUGAAAGCCCACGGCUCAACCGUGGAACUGCAUCGGAAACUGUCAUUCUUGAGUGUAGAAGAGGAGAGUGGAAUUCCAUGUGUAGCGGUGGAAUGCGUAGAUAUAUGGAAGAACACCAGUGGCGAAGGCGGCUCUCUGGUCUGCAACUGACGCUGAGGCUCGAAAGCAUGGGUAGCGAACAGG
This 429-nucleotide ribosomal RNA is filed under the name bacterium. RNAcentral describes it as "partial 16S ribosomal RNA". It matches the Rfam family "Bacterial small subunit ribosomal RNA", at positions 355 to 776 of the family's 1533-position model. The record is from RNAcentral.